Non-coding RNA from Maylandia zebra (zebra mbuna), 405 nucleotides. The record is from RefSeq and is a predicted model, not a curated record. Lineage: Eukaryota; Metazoa; Chordata; Actinopteri; Cichliformes; Cichlidae.
CUACAGAGGAAACAAUGAGCUCAACACAGAAGCUCGCCGUACACCAACUCCAGCUGUGGUAACCAUGGCUGUGCCCAUCAACACGCUGAAGCUGAGACGCCACCCGUCACUAUGGCGACUCCAAUAGGGUUACCUGUCAGCUGUGGACGCAUGAAAGGAAAACAGCAGAAACACAGACAUGUUUACUGGAACAUUUCCUAUUGACAGCUUUAUGGAAAAACUGGAGACGAAUGGAUGGUGCUUUCUUUGUUUGUCUAAAGAUAAUGAAUAAAACUCUACACACAUCUUAAACCACCCUCCUUUCUAUAUAUUUUGUUAUAUAAAUGGAAAGUAUAUAAGACACAAACUGAGCUUAUAUGAUACUAAGGACCCUGGAGGUCAGUCCACCUUUAUAAUUCAGCACAG